RNAcentral lists this transfer RNA (75 nucleotides) under Weissella muntiaci. Its description in RNAcentral is "Weissella sp. 8H-2 tRNA-Gln". It matches the Rfam family "tRNA". From Rfam's summary of the family: Transfer RNA (tRNA) molecules are approximately 80 nucleotides in length. Their secondary structure includes four short double-helical elements and three loops (D, anti-codon, and T loops). Further hydrogen bonds mediate the characteristic L-shaped molecular structure. tRNAs have two regions of fundamental functional importance: the anti-codon, which is responsible for specific mRNA codon recognition, and the 3' end, to which the tRNAs corresponding amino acid is attached (by aminoacyl-tRNA synthetases). tRNAs cope with the degeneracy of the genetic code in two manners: having more than one tRNA (with a specific anti-codon) for a particular amino acid; and 'wobble' base-pairing, i.e. permitting non-standard base-pairing at the 3rd anti-codon position. The record is from RNAcentral. Lineage: Bacteria; Bacillati; Bacillota; Bacilli; Lactobacillales; Lactobacillaceae.
UGGGGUAUCGCCAAGUGGUAAGGCAUUGGUUUUUGGUACCAAUAUGCGCUGGUUCGAUCCCAGCUACCCCAACUA